Molecule: long non-coding RNA, 244 nt
Filed under: Setaria italica (foxtail millet)
Lineage: Eukaryota; Viridiplantae; Streptophyta; Magnoliopsida; Poales; Poaceae
Description: long non-coding RNA (SITA_LNC003397)
Source: RNAcentral
UCCUAUAAAGGCUUUUGCUUCAAACCAGGUAUAUAAAUAAAGCAGAAGUUUGAGUUCUGUUAUAUUUAUUUAUAUAUGUUCCAUAUUUGAUAACUAUAUAUCUUUCAUUUUAGUUGUAGUAGUUUUUGACAUAUUAACUUUAUCUAUUUCCUAUAAUUUCAUAGAUAAUAUAUUGUAUAGAACUUAUUUGGUGGAACCAUGAUGAACCAAGCCAAGUUGGAGAUGACCGAAAACAGGAUCAGAC